Molecule: small RNA, 27 nt
Filed under: Bombyx mori (domestic silkworm)
Lineage: Eukaryota; Metazoa; Arthropoda; Insecta; Lepidoptera; Bombycidae
Description: ovarian small RNA-3242
Source: RNAcentral
UCAGAUAUAAUGAGGGGUGAUCUGGCC